AGAUGAGGGAACAGGCCCUUGGGGCCUUGGCCUUGGUUGGCCUGUCUGCCUAAGGCCAGCAUGGAAACAGUGGCCCAGGUCCAGAUGUUCUGUUAUUUAUCUCCUGUGCUCUCGCCUCCACCCCUGGUUAAGAGGACUGUGGACUCCUCAGACACCACAGAUUAAUUCAGGCGUCUUCUUUUUGCUCUCUGCAAAUGCGUUCUUCACAGGCACUGAGCUCAUAAGCGCUAUGAGGGAAACGAGGUCAUGGAACUGCAUCUCUCACCACAGUGACUCAUGACCACUGAUCCAUGAUGGCAGAGUAUGGCUGAUUAGCUGCACUGAAAGAGGACCAGGUCCCUGGUCCUGUGGAAGGCUGCCAUCCGAGUAUCCAAUUCCCGCGCCUGACAUUGCCAUGGCCACCAGAGGGGAAGACUUCUCUUUAGCCUUUGGAAAACAAGAAAUGCUUAUUCUCAGGAAAGUAUGAUUUCUUCUGCCCCUGAACUUUUAAAGGCACUUUGCUGGUUCCCAUGACUGUUGUGCUCUGAUGAGCUUCAGCAAUCAGAAUAUUUUGCUUAUUUUUAACAUUGAGGAAAUGGAUCAUUCUUUGACGUAGCAGCAGAGGCAAUUUUAGAAGGCAAAACUGCAGUGAUAAUAACAUAUUAUAAUAAAGCCACCACAUAUUUACUGGAUGUCAUACCGUUUUUAAGCAUUUUCAUAGCACUACCUAAUUUGAGUGGGAGAAAAGGCUGGCCGGGUUGUAAACCCAUGUCGUUGGCUUAUCGGAUCCUUGCUCACACUCAUCACUGCUGUUUUAUUCUACCAGCAACAGAAGGAUGCAGAUGGAGAAGAGUGGCCUUGCCUCAUUCAGCUGAACUUUGUUUUUCUGGUUCACAUUUGAAGUAGCAUCGAAGCGAAGGCCUCAGUGCAGCCUCUCCAAUUUCCCCCUGAGAUACCUAAGUCACAGAGAAUAAAAACUCACUCAAGUGCCUCAAACUGGAACCUCAAGAAACAGAAUCUGGGAGAAAUUUCCACUAUUAGAAAGGCUGUUGGAAUUAAAAUAAACAGUAACCUAGCCAUGCUUAAUUUUAUAAAACAAAGAAGCCCUAUCCCCAUGAAAAAAAGAUAAGGACACAUCAUUCCCUCUUCUUUACAUGUCCCCCUGGCUCAGACUCAGGGCCCGAAUAAAGCAUGAAAAGGGUUAUAGUACUCUCUGUCUCUCUUUUUUAAAGAUUUUAUUUAUUUAUUUAUUACUUACUUAGAGUCCGUGUGUACAUGAGCAGGGGGAGGGGGAGAGGGAGAGGGAGAGAGAGAGUCUCAAGCAGACUCUGUUCUGAACAUGGAGCCUGACAUGGAGCUCCAUCUCAUGACCCCUGAGAUCAUGACCUGAACCGAAAUCAAGAGUCGGCUGCUUAAUUGACUGAGCCACCCGGGUGCCCCUCUAGUACUUGCUGCUACAUGGACUAGUUUAGAGGUGACCAGGUUCCUAGCCCCUAAUUGACCCCAACAUAAUUAUACUGGCAUAAGCAUUCUGUGACUUCCAGGAAACAACAAAGGAGGAAAUGUGAAGUGGGAGGGAUGUAGGACAUGUGUGUAUGUGUUGGGGGAGGUUGGGAUGGGGAUAAGAGACUGGUGGUAGCUCAGUGUCAUCUGGAAGGUACAGCCUUUGGAUGUGAAGUAUAAUGGGCGUGGGCUGGUAGAGAUACAUGAUGGGGAGAGAAUGCUCAGAAAUACUGCACUGAUUCAGAGUUGCAGAAACCUGGCCAGCUGAGGAGGAGACACAUCUUGGUACAGGAGAGCCACACUAGGAAUUGGAUGGGAUGUCUUGCAUUUCAAACUGCUGCUCUUACUGAUGAUCCAAAUGGGGGACUGACCUCUCCGCAAGGACAGUUGAGCCAAUGCCUCUUCUGAUGAAGAUGACUGGGGAGCCCACCUGUGUGCUCAGGGUAUGGGGAGGUGCAUGUCUAUUUCCUCAGUGCCUUAAGAUCAGGAAUCUGGCUGAUUGUAUUUCAGGUAGGCACUUGAUAUUUGUUAAAGAAACAAGGCAACGCUGAGUCUGGAUAGAGAGGAUGAGUAAGGAGGAUAAAAAUUACAUAUAUGUGUGUGUUAGAAAAAGAGAGAACUAUACUAAAAGCACACAGAAGUACAAUAGGGAGCAACCACCAUUUGAGGGAUUCAGAGGCAGAGAUUACAUCUUGUGUGCUAUACACUGAAUUCAUGGCAAAAGGCUCACAAAAAACUAAGAAGGUCAAAGUAUAUUGGUGAAGGACACAGAAUCCACAAUGACAUCAAAAGUUAUGAAACUCUAUGUAGUAAAUAACCUAACAUAAAAAUACGUAAGGCAAAACUAUUAAACAAUAUAAAGAGAAAUUGGGAGAAACAGGACUGUUAUUGUUAUGAGAGACUUAAAUGCACAUUUUUCAGCCUACGACUGAUCAAAUACGUAAAAUCAAAUAACACUAUGGAAGGAUGUUAACGAUCAUAGAGCUGUACCAACAGAUAUACAUCUAACUUUCUGUCCUUCAAAGAAUAUACCUCCUUCUCAGGAGUCCGUACAAAAACUUGUGAUACAGUAAGUCACAUAGAAAAAUCUCAGUAAAUCUCUCAUGGAAGUGAAUGAAUUUUUAAACAUUAAAGCCAGUAUAGGGUAGAAAAAGAAAAAUUAAAACUCUAUAAAACAAAACUGAAAGAAAAAAAGUUAAACUUGGGAAAAUCAGCCUUAUUUAUAAUAGCAGAAAUAGGAAAUAACACCAAUGUAUCAGUCCCCUAGCUUGCUGCCUUAUUACCAACACCGGUAUAGACACACACCCAUACAUGUAUACAUAAACAGAGUCAUCUCAUUACUAGUAAUAGUAGUAGCAGGGCUGGGGCCAAUUCUAGAUAUCAAAAAAUAAUAUAGCGAGAUUUAACUUGUGCUGGGAAAGUUUCCUUCCACUGCAAGUAUGUUCUCUAACCAGGUGUUUUUCAUCCGAGAUUCUACCAUUAGAAAUUCACUUUAAUACAUUAAGCAAUGUACUUUCUAGGCACAUCUUUCGGAGGCUAAAGAUACCUGAGAAGAGUACUGAAUCAAGUCAUUAACACCUCAGCAGGAAUUCCAGGUAUUAUGAAGUGCACCUUUUCCAGGUUCAGGCCCCAGGGAGGAGUGAAGGUUUUGCUGGUGUCAAUGGAAGGAACAGUGUGUCAUUUCACUGAUGGCUUCUCUAGAUUGUGAUUAUAUCAAAUAUCUGAGGGGAAUGUUUGGGAGAGGGAACCAGUUAUGAUGAAAAACAAAUAAUAUAUAAUAGAUCUCCAAUAUUUAUUUGUUUUCCUGUGAUUGUAUCACUCAAGUGUGGUACAGAAAAAUUUAGUUCAAUAAAGCCUUGAUUGAUUCUAUACACAUUUAUAUAUAAUCUGGUACAUUUACUGUAUUUUGUUCAUUAUAUUUAUAUUUAAAUCUGACUUCGGACUGUGCUAAGUAGCUAUACUCGGAGUUCUCAAUCUUGGGAGCUAAAAAAGGUUAGGGUAUUAAGGAGGGCACGUGUUGUGAUGAGCACUGGGUGUUAUACCCAACUAAUGAAUCGUUGAACACUACAUCAAAAACUAAUGAUGUACUAUACAUUGGCUAACUGAACAUAAUAAAAAAUAAAUUAAUUUAAAAAAUAAAAAAAUUUUAAAAGGUUAGGGAGGUUGGGAGGGUUAUUGUCUUUUCCUUAGCACUGAAAAUGACUGCAUAGUACAGAAAUAAUAAUACCUUACAUUUGAUAUCACUUCCAUAUGUGUGAGCUCAAAAUUCUCACACAUGCAUUAUCAUAGCCUUCUGGGUAGCAGCUGAACUCAGGAUUUUCACCUAUUAGGAUGUUAAUUUUGUUAGGGUUAAUUGGAAUUGUUUCCUG
Long non-coding RNA from Mirounga angustirostris (Northern elephant seal), 3851 nucleotides. RefSeq lists it as uncharacterized. The record is from RefSeq and is a predicted model, not a curated record. NCBI's taxonomy places the organism in Eukaryota, Metazoa, Chordata, Mammalia, Carnivora, Phocidae. The transcript has 3 exons.